Molecule: long non-coding RNA, 439 nt
Organism: Phacochoerus africanus (Common warthog)
Lineage: Eukaryota; Metazoa; Chordata; Mammalia; Artiodactyla; Suidae
Exons: 3
Source: RefSeq, a predicted model, not a curated record
UUCCUUCUUUUCCCAGGACCUGUAUGAACCCUACCCAGAGUGUCCCUCUAAUCCUCUUGUUUACUGCUCUAGUCAUGAAAUGUAAUUUAAUUUAUUCGGGAAUCCGAGUUUGGGGGCAAGCAGGAUGCACAUCAGAGUACACAAGAGGCAUGUCUUGGUGACUUCCGCCUGAGAGUACAUGCAUGGCUUCCUGUUUUGGUCUGAUAGCUUCCCCUGAGCUUUCAUAGAUGCAAGAUUACCCAAUGCAAAAGAGAAGAGUGUCCAAUAUGAUUAGGAGGUUUUGAGUUUGGUUAUUAAGAGAAUAAAUUGUUAACAGAAAUAAGAUCAUACCUGGAAGACAAUAUGGUGAGUUCUCCUUUGGACCUAAUUAAUUCUGAAUGUAGUUGGCAACACUGGGUCGGGAGGGAAAUCAGAAAAGGAGCUUUGGAUUUAAGCUAUG